This is a long non-coding RNA of Prunus dulcis (almond), 717 nucleotides long. RefSeq lists it as uncharacterized. The transcript has 3 exons. Lineage: Eukaryota; Viridiplantae; Streptophyta; Magnoliopsida; Rosales; Rosaceae. The record is from RefSeq and is a predicted model, not a curated record.
UUGUGGGUGCUGUUAUGGAUUCUUAUUUUGCCAUUAAUUUCAGUUAUUUCUAUGAACCAUAUAUAUGAUUUUCAUUUUUGAGACCUUGAAUAUAGGACAGUUUCUGGUUUGGUUUGCCUUUGUAUCUCUCACACUAGAUGCUGAUAAAGCCUCCUUCCAAGGAAAAUUCCAUUUAUAUUUAGUUAGAAUUUUAUUACUUUUUAUUUUUUAUUCUGAUAACUCAGUACUCUAGUUUUUUCACAGGUUUUAGAUAACAAGGAUGAUGAAGUGUGAGUCAGCAGAACAAGUGUGACCUUAUUGUCAAUCUUAAAACUUCAGUAAACCAAAAAGUUAGGGAUACCAGUUUUCAUAGAGAAGGUGCUGACAUUCAUGUAGAUGUUGGUUUGUGUAUCACUCAGAUUGGUAUAACUAGGGAGGCUCCAACCAAAGCAAGACUUGGACUUGUCAUGAGCUUUCACAUAGAGAUGUUAUGGGGAAAGUAAAGCUUCUAAGUGACAAGUUAGAGAGCUUAUUUCAUUUUAGUACGUUUAUUUUAAAUGUAUUCAUGUUGUAAUUUCAAUACUAUGUAAGUAUAUGGUUGUGUUAUUUUAAAUUAUUGUAUAUAAUUGUAUUAUUCUAGUGGAUUUACAAUUUCUUAUAUGUUUUUUAUAUGUAUUUCUUUUAAUGAUAAAGUCAUUCUUUACAGCCCUUCUUGUUGAGGAGCUGUAUUUUUGUUUU